RNAcentral lists this ribosomal RNA (166 nucleotides) under uncultured bacterium. Its description in RNAcentral is "partial 16S rRNA". It matches the Rfam family "Bacterial small subunit ribosomal RNA", at positions 354 to 511 of the family's 1533-position model. The record is from RNAcentral.
GUAGGGAAUCUUCGGCAAUGGACGAAAGUCUGACCGAGCAACGCCGCGUGAGUGAAGAAGGUUUUCGAAUCGUAAAACUCUGUUGGUAGAGAAGAACGUUGGUGAGAGUGGAAAGCUCAUCAAGUGACGGUAACUACCCAGAAAGGGACGGCUAACUACGUGCCAG